AUUUUUACAGUAAUUGCAGACCUUCUUACCUGUUGCCCUCUCACAUCUAUUCUUCUUCAAGCACAGUAAGAUUAGCAAUCAUUUAUAGCAAUGAUAGUAUUAUCAUUUUGGAAUCAUCUAGUUUAAACCAGGACUAAGGUAUCAUGAAAUGAACUGCCUUCCCUUGGUAACAAAUGGUAGUGUUGAGGCGAGUUGGUUGUCUGGGCAAGGAGGAGACUGAGAAAGAGAGGGAGAAGCACAGCAAAGUUUCAGAUGUGUUGUCAAAUCUGGAUUGCAGAGGCUGAUUUCACACUAUCAUUCUCUCUUCAGAAAGUAACUUGACUGAUAUGAAAAAUCCACGUGCAAAUACUGUAAACUGUAAAACCUCUAGGAAGUCUUCACUGCAACCAGGCUAUAAUCUUGUCACUGUCUAUCAUUUGGAGCCAUGGAUCUCACUGCAUCAGGGAGAUGUCUACUGUUUCUUUUUUUUCUUCUUCUUCCUUUCUUCCAGUGUUUUCAGCUCUUCCAGCUCUCUUUCCUCUGUUCCUGUUUCCCCGCACAAGUGCCGAGAUCCUUCUGUGGUACAGAGGGGCCAACAGCAGAACCAAGAAAUGUGGGGAAAACUGCCGUUGCAACAGGAACACUGGAUCUUUCCUCUUCUCACUGAACAUCCUGCGUUCUCCCCUCAGGACUCAAGACAGCUCAGUGGAGAGGAGAGUUCCAGAUGGAAGUACAGAUUCUGUUAUAGCAGAGUGGAGGAAGAGAAAUCUUAAACCAGGGGCAUUUAAUCACCUGCAGAGAGAGAGAGGUUGAAAAGAAAAAUGUAUUUACUGUCUUCUAGAUCUGUUUGUAGGCAAUUUACAUUUGAACUCCUCUUGAAUAAUUUUCAGUAUAAUAUUUAUGGUCUGAAAGUAUAUGAAAUGGUGUCAGAAACCAGCCUUCUUUUGCAGCACUGAGAAGUCCUCUCCCUGGGUCCUUUAAGUUAUCUGUUUUCCCUUCGUGUAUUCUUUCAUGUUGUGCUCUGCCUUCUGAUGGGUGAUACAUGACGAGGAAUUGGGAAGCAGCAAGCUCUGUGGCUCUGCUGCUGGUGUGCUUCAUACAUUUGUGAAGAAGUAGACCCACAUCAUAAAACCAACCGAAAGCCACGGAGGUACCUCUCUAAAAAAUGUAAUGGACUGUACUGAAAGCCUAACUUUGACUGAUGUGAGGUUUGGGACUUUAUCCAGGUAAGAAUUCAUGCAGCAAUGAGCACAGAUAAGGCAGAUGACCCAGAGUAGGGCCAAACUGUUUACCAGCAGAUGUGUUUUUGAAAAUCUUCCUUAACUGGUCAUGGCAGCGGAAAAUACCCUGCUGUUAAACGCAUCUGCAAUCCACUGCGCUCCCAAUCCACCUACAAAAAUUCUGACCUUUAAAGAAAUGAUGGAGAAGCUGGUGAUUUUUUCCAUGGCAUUGAAGCUCAGUCUAUUUUAGGCUCCAAGGCAAUUGCAGCCCUUUUUGCUCCCUAUUUCACAUCACUUUUAAGUCUUGUUCUGGCCACUAUGAACCCUUCAGCACUUCUCCCUGUGCAAUCACUCGAGUCAAGAUCUGUGAUUUGUGAUUUGCAGAUGACAUGUACAUUUCUUGGCUGAUGGCUGUUAAGGCAGUUUGCAAACCUAAGGCAAUAAACUGCAGGGAUGCAUUUGAAGCUCUGUUUUG
Long non-coding RNA from Numida meleagris (helmeted guineafowl), 1674 nucleotides. NCBI's taxonomy places the organism in Eukaryota, Metazoa, Chordata, Aves, Galliformes, Numididae. The record is from Ensembl.